ACGCUCGACACCUACGGAGGCAGCAGUGGGGAAUAUUGCACAAUGGGGGAAACCCGUGAUGCAGCGACGCCGCGUGAGCGAAGAAGUAUUUCGGUAUGUAAAGCUCUAUCAGCAGGGAAGAAACUGACGGUACCUGACUAAGAAGCACCGGCUAAAUACGUGCCNGCAGCCGCGGUAAUCUGAGCGGGCUGGCAAGGC
RNAcentral lists this ribosomal RNA (198 nucleotides) under uncultured bacterium. RNAcentral's name for it is "partial 16S ribosomal RNA". It matches the Rfam family "Bacterial small subunit ribosomal RNA", at positions 328 to 539 of the family's 1533-position model. The record is from RNAcentral.